UACGUAGGGUGCGAGCGUUGUCCGGAAUUAUUGGGCGUAAAGGGCUCGUAGGCGGUUUGUCGCGUCGGGAGUGAAAACACUGGGCUUAACCCAGUGCUUGCUUUCGAUACGGGCAGACUAGAGGUAUGCAGGGGAGAACGGAAUUCCUGGUGUAGCGGUGAAAUGCGCAGAUAUCAGGAGGAACACCGGUGGCGAAGGCGGUUCUCUGGGCAUGAUCUGACGCUGAGGAGCGAAAGUGUGGGGAGCGAACAGG
This 253-nucleotide ribosomal RNA is filed under the name uncultured bacterium. RNAcentral's name for it is "partial 16S ribosomal RNA". It matches the Rfam family "Bacterial small subunit ribosomal RNA", at positions 524 to 776 of the family's 1533-position model. The record is from RNAcentral. RNAcentral also lists the same sequence under 1 other name.